AUUCAGUCCCUCAUAGCACACUCCUUUCACCAUGUCAGAUCAACACUUCCUUGUUCACACAGAAGCAGCUUGCAAGAGUCAUCAUCUGCUUUGCAUAUGCAGAUCCCAGAGUGUGCUGACUGUGCUGAAAAACAGUGGCCUCUAGUGCCCGGAAUGCCAAAUGACAGCUCCAAUACAAUUUAAACAUAAACAUUAUACAGGCAGAGCUUAUCCACAAUCUAACACCCUCACUCCUCUGGUAUCCUGAGCCGCAUUUAUACUUU
Bufo bufo (common toad) is the source of this 263-nucleotide long non-coding RNA. RefSeq lists it as uncharacterized. Lineage: Eukaryota; Metazoa; Chordata; Amphibia; Anura; Bufonidae. The transcript is spliced from 4 exons. The record is from RefSeq and is a predicted model, not a curated record.